Molecule: unclassified non-coding RNA, 200 nt
Filed under: Pleosporales sp.
Lineage: Eukaryota; Fungi; Ascomycota; Dothideomycetes; Pleosporales
Also listed under: 1 other name
Description: partial contains internal transcribed spacer 2 and large subunit ribosomal RNA
Source: RNAcentral
GUCAUCUACACCCUCAAGCUCUGCUUGGUGUUGGGCGUCUGUCCCGCCUCCGCGCGUGGACUCGCCCCAAAUUCAUUGGCAGCGGUCCUUGCCUCCUCUCGCGCAGCACAUUGCGCUUCUUGAGGGGCUCCGGUUCGCGUCCAACAAGCACAUUUACCGUCUUUGACCUCGGAUCAGGUAGGGAUACCCGCUGAACUUAA